Molecule: non-coding RNA, 135 nt
Organism: Triticum aestivum (bread wheat)
Lineage: Eukaryota; Viridiplantae; Streptophyta; Magnoliopsida; Poales; Poaceae
Source: Rfam
UUCAUACUCCCUCCGUCCGCAAAUACUUGUCAUCAAAAUGGAUUAAAAGGGAUAUAUCUAGGACUAAAAUACAUCUAGAUACAUCCCCUUUUAUUCAUCUUGAUGACAAGUAUUUUCGGACGGAGGGAGUAUGUU